AGUGAACGCUGGCGGUAGGCCUAACACAUGCAAGUCGAACGGCAGCACAGUAAGAGCUUGCUCUUACGGGUGGCGAGUGGCGGACGGGUGAGGAAUACAUCGGAAUCUACUUUUUCGUGGGGGAUAACGUAGGUAAACUUACGCUAAUACCGCAUACGACCUACGGGUGAAAGCAGGGGAUCUUCGGACCUUUCGCGAUUGAAUGAGCCGAUGUCGGAUUAGCUAGUUGGCGGGGUAAAGGCCCACCAAGGCGACGAUCCGUAGCUGGUCUGAGAGGAUGAUCAGCCACACUGGAACUGAGACACGGUCCAGACUCCUACGGGAGGCAGCAGUGGGGAAUAUUGGACAAAGGGCGCAAGCCUGAUCCAGCCAUACCGCGUGGGUGAAGAAGGCCUUCGGGUUGUAAAGCCCUUUUGUUGGGAAAGAAAAGCAGCAGGUUAAUACCCCGCUGUUCUGACGGUACCCAAAGAAUAAGCACCGGCUAACUUCGUG
This 492-nucleotide ribosomal RNA is filed under the name uncultured bacterium. RNAcentral's name for it is "partial 16S ribosomal RNA". It matches the Rfam family "Bacterial small subunit ribosomal RNA", at positions 29 to 507 of the family's 1533-position model. The record is from RNAcentral.